This 162-nucleotide ribosomal RNA is filed under the name uncultured bacterium. RNAcentral's name for it is "partial 16S ribosomal RNA". It matches the Rfam family "Bacterial small subunit ribosomal RNA", at positions 393 to 539 of the family's 1533-position model. The record is from RNAcentral.
CAUGCCGCGUGUGUGAAGAAGGCUUUCGGGUUGUAAAGCACUUUCAGUGAGGAGGAAAACUCUGCGACUAAUACUCGUAGGGCUUGACGUUACUCACAGAAGAAGCACCGGCUAACUCCGUGCCAGCAACCUCGGUGACUGAGCGGGCUGGCAAGGCGCAUA